CCCUUAGAUGUUCGGGGCCGCACGCGCGCUACACUGAAGGAAUCAGCACGUCUUUCUCCUUGUCCGAAAGGACUGGGUAACCCGCUGAACCUCCUUCGUGCUAGGGAUUGGGGCUUGUAAUUCUUCCCCAUGAACGAGGAAUUCCCAGUAAGCGCGAGUCAUAAGCUCGCGUUGAUUACGUCCCUGCCCUUUGUACACACCGCCCGUCGCUACUACCGAUUGGAUGGUUUAGUGAGAUCCUCGGAUUGGUCCCGGCGCGGCCUCUGGUCGUGCCGGAGUGCCGAAAAGAAUGUCGAACUUGAUCAUCUAGAGGAAGAAAAAGUCGUAACA
Molecule: ribosomal RNA, 330 nt
Filed under: uncultured eukaryote
Lineage: Eukaryota
Description: partial 18S ribosomal RNA
Rfam family: Eukaryotic small subunit ribosomal RNA
Source: RNAcentral